UCCAUCGCAGCAUGCAAAGGUUCGCUGUAUUAUCGUGUCAGCGCAGUUGCAUGUUUUUUAUCGUGCGGCAACGAGCCCGUGUCGUUAAUAGCUACAAUAAUAAUACAAUAAAAAAUGAUUACCUAGUAUCUUUGAUUGGUCGUUGGAGAACAUCGUCCGUGUGUUCGGAUAGAAGCCUGACAUCGAUCGACCAUGCAAUUAAUACGAUCUCGUACACACAGUUCCCAACGAUUCGAUCGAGUUCCAAGAAUCGCGUGUUUUUACUCGUUGCGCUAGUUGUUCACGCGAACUCGCAUCUCCAGAACAAACCUUCCGUCUUACAGUUGCGAAACCGUAAAUACAGAAAAGAAAACGCAGCUCUUGAAACUCUGACGAAACGCUGAUAAUACGGUGGAUUGUCGCGUGCCGUGGAAUGGAAAAUUCGUCGUUACUUCUUUCAUACAUACGAUAUUUGUUUGUAACUGUGGAAAAACGCGUUUAUCGAUCAGCAUCGUGCCACAUAUUUUUCGAUUAAGCCCUCCGUGUUUGACGGUUUAAAUUUGUCACGCCCUGUAUGCAUUUGUAAUUUUUACACGCAUAUAUAUAUAUUCGUUUGUACUACGAUUACCGUCACACUUUAUAUAUGGUAUUAUCACAUCGACGCUAUCAGUUCUUACAGUAUCACGAUCAGAGUCAAGUUUAGAAUAGAAGAACCAAUUAACGACGGAUCGCAAAGUAAGAAGCUUAUAACAUAAUCGGCAAGGAAGUGGGAUUUUCCGGAUUCACAGACACGAAGCUCGAAUCAUCCCUGAUCGACCGCCACCUUUCGUUUUUCGGCUGGAACAUCACAUGCUGGCCAUUCGUCAGUGGCUGAACGAAGAACGAUCUCUGACCGAUCGACAUCAAAGCG
This is a long non-coding RNA of Bombus impatiens (common eastern bumble bee), 889 nucleotides long. RefSeq lists it as uncharacterized. NCBI's taxonomy places the organism in Eukaryota, Metazoa, Arthropoda, Insecta, Hymenoptera, Apidae. The record is from RefSeq and is a predicted model, not a curated record. The transcript has 3 exons.